UACGAGUGCCUCGAGCGUUAUCCGGAAUCAUUGGGCGUAAAGGGUGCGUAGGCGGUUUCGUUAGUCUCGCGUAAAAUUCUUCGGCUCAACCGGGGGCUCGCGCGGGAAACGGCGAAACUUUGAAGAUGUGAGAGGUCUCCGGAACUCAUGGUGUAGCGGUGAAAUGCGUUGAUAUCAUGGGGAACACCAAAAGCGAAGGCAGGAGACUGGCACAUUCUUGACGCUGAGGCACGAAAGCGUGGGUCGCGAAAGGG
RNAcentral lists this ribosomal RNA (254 nucleotides) under uncultured bacterium. RNAcentral describes it as "partial 16S ribosomal RNA". It matches the Rfam family "Bacterial small subunit ribosomal RNA", at positions 524 to 776 of the family's 1533-position model. The record is from RNAcentral.